This 66-nucleotide transfer RNA is filed under the name Cellulomonas massiliensis. It matches the Rfam family "tRNA", at positions 5 to 66 of the family's 71-position model. Rfam says of the family: Transfer RNA (tRNA) molecules are approximately 80 nucleotides in length. Their secondary structure includes four short double-helical elements and three loops (D, anti-codon, and T loops). The record is from RNAcentral. Lineage: Bacteria; Bacillati; Actinomycetota; Actinomycetes; Micrococcales; Cellulomonadaceae.
CCGUAGCUCAGUGGAUAGAGCGUCUGCCUCCGGAGCAGAAGGUCGUAGGUUCGAAUCCUAUCGGGC